AUGAGUGAUAACCAGCUUACACUGCGAUGGGUAGGUUAUGAGCAAGAGAUGUGGGUGUUGGGUUUGAAGAUGAAUGACAAAGCUGAGCCCUCUUUUGCUACGCUACAUACACUGAAUUUUCACUGUUCAGUUGCAUUUUGUUUUGGAUUCGGUAUGGAUCCUCCUCUCUCUCUCUCUCUCUCUCUCUCUCUCUCUCUAUGUCUAUAUAUGUAUAUUAGUAUAUAUAUCCUACAACAAAUCAGUCAAGCUGUCAUUGCCUACUCGCUGACCCAUGGUCUGGGUGGACUGACACUAUGGUGCCGCCAGCCACCACCGUUCCAUUGCCUUGGAUUCGGUUGUGGCGUGGGCUGGGAACCAUACAGUGUUGUCUGA
RNAcentral lists this ribosomal RNA (372 nucleotides) under Triticum aestivum (bread wheat). RNAcentral's name for it is "partial small subunit ribosomal RNA". The record is from RNAcentral. Lineage: Eukaryota; Viridiplantae; Streptophyta; Magnoliopsida; Poales; Poaceae.